GGUUAAGCGACUAAGCGUACACGGUGGAUGCCCUGGCAGUCAGAGGCGAUGAAGGACGUGCUAAUCUGCGAAAAGCGUCGGUAAGGUGAUAUGAACCGUUACAGCCGGCGAUGUCCGAAUGGGGAAACCCAGUGUGAUUCGUCACACUAUCGUUAACUGAAUACAUAGGUUAACGAGGCGAACCGGGGGAACUGAAACAUCUAAGUACCCCGAGGAAAAGAAAUCAACCGAGAUUCCCCCAGUAGCGGCGAGCGAACGGGGAGCAGCCCAGAGUCUGAAUCAGCUUGUGUGUUAGUGGAACGGUCUGGAAAGUCCGACGGUACAGGGUGAUAGUCCCGUACACCAAAAUGCACAGGCUGUGAACUCGAAGAGUAGGGCGGGACACGUGGUAUCCUGUCUGAAUAUGGGGGGACCAUCCUCCAAGGCUAAAUACUCCUGACUGACCGAUAGUGAACCAGUACCGUGAGGGAAAGGCGAAAAGAACCCCGGCGAGGGGAGUGAAAAAGAACCUGAAACCGUGUACGUACAAGCAGUGGGAGCACCUUCGGGUGUGACUGCGUACCUUUUGUAUAAUGGGUCAGCGACUUAUAUUCUGUAGCAAGGUUAACCGUAUAGGGGAGCCGCAGGGAAACCGAGUCUUAACUGGGCGUUAAGUUGCAGGGUAUAGACCCGAAACCCGGUGAUCUAGCCAUGGGCAGGUUGAAGGUUGGGUAACACUAACUGGAGGACCGAACCGACUAAUGUUGAAAAAUUAGCGGAUGACUUGUGGCUGGGGGUGAAAGGCCAAUCAAACCGGGAGAUAGCUGGUUCUCCCCGAAAGCUAUUUAGGUAGCGCCUCGUGAAUUCAUCUUCGGGGGUAGAGCACUGUUUCGGCUAGGGGGUCAUCCCGACUUACCAACCCGAUGCAAACUACGAAUACCGAAGAAUGUUAUCACGGGAGACACACGGCGGGUGCUAACGUCCGUCGUGAAGAGGGAAACAACCCAGACCGCCAGCUAAGGUCCCAAAGUCAUGGUUAAGUGGGAAACGAUGUGGGAAGGCACAGACAGCCAGGAUGUUGGCUUAGAAGCAGCCAUCAUUUAAAGAAAGCGUAAUAGCUCACUGGUCGAGUCGGCCUGCGCGGAAGAUGUAACGGGGCUAAACCAUGCACCGAAGCUGCGGCAGCGACACUAUGUGUUGUUGGGUAGGGGAGCGUUCUGUAAGCCUGCGAAGGUGACCUGUGAGGGUUGCUGGAGGUAUCAGAAGUGCGAAUGCUGACAUAAGUAACGAUAAAGCGGGUGAAAAGCCCGCUCGCCGGAAGACCAAGGGUUCCUGUCCAACGUUAAUCGGGGCAGGGUGAGUCGACCCCUAAGGCGAGGCCGAAAGGCGUAGUCGAUGGGAAACAGGUUAAUAUUCCUGUACUUGGUGUUACUGCGAAGGGGGGACGGAGAAGGCUAUGUUAGCCGGGCGACGGUUGUCCCGGUUUAAGCAUGUAGGCUGAUUAUCCAGGCAAAUCCGGAUAAUCAAGGCUGAGGUGUGAUGACGAGGCACUACGGUGCUGAAGUAACAAAUGCCCUGCUUCCAGGAAAAGCCUCUAAGCAUCAGGUAACAUCAAAUCGUACCCCAAACCGACACAGGUGGUCAGGUAGAGAAUACCAAGGCGCUUGAGAGAACUCGGGUGAAGGAACUAGGCAAAAUGGUGCCGUAACUUCGGGAGAAGGCACGCUGGUGUGUAGGUGAAGUCCCUGCGGAUGGAGCUGAGACCAGUCGAAGAUACCAGCUGGCUGCAACUGUUUAUUAAAAACACAGCACUGUGCAAACACGAAAGUGGACGUAUACGGUGUGACGCCUGCCCGGUGCCGGAAGGUUAAUUGAUGGGGUUAUCCGUAAGGAGAAGCUCUUGAUCGAAGCCCCGGUAAACGGCGGCCGUAACUAUAACGGUCCUAAGGUAGCGAAAUUCCUUGUCGGGUAAGUUCCGACCUGCACGAAUGGCGUAAUGAUGGCCAGGCUGUCUCCACCCGAGACUCAGUGAAAUUGAACUCGCUGUGAAGAUGCAGUGUACCCGCGGCAAGACGGAAAGACCCCGUGAACCUUUACUAUAGCUUGACACUGAACAUUGAGCCUUGAUGUGUAGGAUAGGUGGGAGGCUUUGAAGCGUGGACGCCAGUCUGCGUGGAGCCAACCUUGAAAUACCACCCUUUAAUGUUUGAUGUUCUAACGUUGGCCCCUUACCGGGGUUGCGGACAGUGUCUGGUGGGUAGUUUGACUGGGGCGGUCUCCUCCCAAAGCGUAACGGAGGAGCACGAAGGUUAGCUAAUCCUGGUCGGACAUCAGGAGGUUAGUGCAAUGGCAUAAGCUAGCUUGACUGCGAGCGUGACGGCGCGAGCAGGUGCGAAAGCAGGUCAUAGUGAUCCGGUGGUUCUGAAUGGAAGGGCCAUCGCUCAACGGAUAAAAGGUACUCCGGGGAUAACAGGCUGAUACCGCCCAAGAGUUCAUAUCGACGGCGGUGUUUGGCACCUCGAUGUCGGCUCAUCACAUCCUGGGGCUGAAGUAGGUCCCAAGGGUAUGGCUGUUCGCCAUUUAAAGUGGUACGCGAGCUGGGUUUAGAACGUCGUGAGACAGUUCGGUCCCUAUCUGCCGUGGGCGCUGGAGAAUUGAGGGGGCUGCUCCUAGUACGAGAGGACCGGAGUGGACGCAUCACUGGUGUUCGGGUUGUCAUGCCAAUGGCACUGCCCGGUAGCUAAAUGCGGAAGAGAUAAGUGCUGAAAGCAUCUAAGCACGAAACUUGCCCCGAGAUGAGUUCUCCCUGAGACUUUAAGUCUCCUGAAGGAACGUUAAAGACGAUGACGUUGAUAGGCCGGGUGUGUAAGCGCAGCGAUGCGUUGAGCUAACCGGUACUAAUGAACCGUGAGGCUUAACCUU
This 2901-nucleotide ribosomal RNA is filed under the name Klebsiella pneumoniae. RNAcentral's name for it is "23S ribosomal RNA". It matches the Rfam family "Bacterial large subunit ribosomal RNA". The record is from RNAcentral. RNAcentral also lists the same sequence under 1 other name. Lineage: Bacteria; Pseudomonadati; Pseudomonadota; Gammaproteobacteria; Enterobacterales; Enterobacteriaceae.